GGUGAGAACUAUAUAAAUAUAGUUCCCAGUGGGUUCGGCCGCCGACUCCGCCGAUCUUCCCACUAGGUCCAAGCUAGCAUAGAUAGAUAGAUAGAAAGAGAUAUAUGGAAAUAAACUACUACUAUAUCUACUAUGCCAUCAAAUGCAAGGUAUGCAUGGAACAUCAUCUAGCAACAACCUACCAUCAUGCUAGUAUGCCUCAACAGUGAAAUGAGUACAACUAUAACAUAGUUAUGCAAUGCACUAUGUCUAAUCAUGGUAUGAAUGCAAUACUCUUAUGCUAUUCAUGUUAUUACCCAAUCCGCUAGGCUAACUUGCCUAAGAUCUCAAAUCUAGUAGGUGAAGAGCUACCUCACUCUGGUCUCACUCGACUCAUAUCUCAAAGGUCUGACUCAAUCUCGUGAGUCCCAGGCAAAGAGCUACCCCGCCCCUCGCCCGACUCACAUCUCAAGGUCCUAGGCAAAGGCUACCCCGCACUUUGCCCAACUCAUAUCUCAAGGUCCUAGGCAAAGGCUACCCCGCACUUUGCCCGACUCACAACUCGACCUACUAGGUAUAGGGCUACUCCGCUCAAAUCUCAUAGGUGAAGGAAUAGUAUGUCCACUCACUGUAUGUAGGCAAAUCCACUAAUCCAACUACCAAGCGACUAUGCUCGCUAUCAAUGUAAGUCUCAGUGAAGGCUAACUAUGCUUCGAUCUGAUAUCAUGGAUGCAUGAACAAUAAAUAGUAGGGUAAGCAACUACUAUAAACAUCUACAACAACUAUCAUAGUAAGCUAUAAAACAUUCUACUAGGAAAGCAAAUAAGCUGAUAUGAACAGUGAAUAGCUACUAUGAACAUCAAUCGUGGGUAAGACUCAAUGGGUAACCCAAUCUCCAAGUGAACACAAGGUUCACAAGCAAAGCUCACAUGAAAACCUCCGAGGGAUGCCUAGCUGGACUAUCCCCGAGAACGCCUGCGGAUAACAAGCGGCUAUCCGAGCAGCAAGCAGGGCUGCCUCUCUAGUGACCAAACUCCGGAGCGCACAACUUGAGGGGAGAGACCCCACCAAGCGCAGACAGGCAAUGUGAGCAUGAUCAACUCACGAGCAACAACAACCCUUUGAGGGUAAUCUUAGCAUAGAUCAACAGUUCUUGUACCCAAUCUCAUAGUGUCACAACUACACUAAUGUUCUCAUGUCAAGGUUAUCAACAAUCAUAUGCCUCACAUCAUAGUUUUCUAUAACUAGAUGCCACUUGUCAUAGUUUUCUAAACUAGAUGCCACUCGUCAUUUAGACUCAUUUUCAACACUAGUUUCGUCAUACUAGUUCUUUAGCAACAUAAGCAUUAAUCAUCUCAUAUAGGGUCUAGGUUUUCAUCAUAUAAUCAUCAUGCAUACUAGAUCAUGAACCGACCAAGCAAGAUACUUUGAGCUUCUAGCAUGCAAUUAUAACAACAAUAUCCAACUCUUACCCUAUAUGAACAUGCACAAUAUGCAAUAAAUACAAUAUGCAACUUGAUCGAUUAAUGUACUCAACUAAAGUUUAAUCCACAUUAAUCAUGCCCUUAUAGGGUUUCACCACACUAAGUUCCAAUCUCAUGCAUACUAGGUACAAGUAUUAAUCAAGUAACACUACACUCCCACUAGCAUGCCAUGACAUGUAACAAUUGCCAACUAGUACCCUAUAAUGCAAUAUCCCACUAUGCAACUUGAUCAAUGUUAACUAGAGUUUCUAGUACAACAACCAAUCUAUUACUAAGUUCAAGUCAUAUGUAUUUUUAGCACAAUGAGUUCAAUGCCACUUGUAAACUAUGUCUCUAAAUACAACACUAGGUUCUUCUUUCAUUUAGCAUCAUAGGUUCAA
Molecule: long non-coding RNA, 1843 nt
Filed under: Ananas comosus (pineapple)
Lineage: Eukaryota; Viridiplantae; Streptophyta; Magnoliopsida; Poales; Bromeliaceae
Description: long non-coding RNA (ACOM_LNC035941)
Source: RNAcentral